Long non-coding RNA from Patella vulgata (common limpet), 451 nucleotides. RefSeq lists it as uncharacterized. The transcript is spliced from 4 exons. NCBI's taxonomy places the organism in Eukaryota, Metazoa, Mollusca, Gastropoda, Patellidae. The record is from RefSeq and is a predicted model, not a curated record.
AGCUGUUUUCCAUACACGCCUUCAUUAAGACUGGAGAGACCACCCGACAGUUACCAUUGGUGUUUUGUGUAAUGUCGGGUAAAAGCCAAGACGACUAUUAUAAGUUUCCAUAUUAGAUGCCAUAGCAAAUCAAAGAUCAUAUAAUAAAAUAAGUCAAAAAACCCAAAUAUGGAAAAAGAAAGAGCUGAAGAAAUGGUGAUUUGAGCACCUAUGCUUUCUCAUAGGUGUUUUUGGAGGUUUCCAUAUUAGAUGCCAUAGCAAAUCAAAGAUCAUAUAAUAAAAUAAGUCAAAAAACCCAAAUAUGGGAAAAGAAAGAGCUGAAGAAAUGGUGAUUUGAGCACCUAUGAUUUCUCAUAGGUGUUUUUGGAGGUUAACUACAUCAGAAAGAUCAAGACAGUUGGAAAUGCCUAUUCAUAUUAUGGAAACUUUUUCUCACAGGGCUUGAUAAUCA